CAUCGGCGUUUUUGCAAAAAAGUCCCUGAUGUUUUAGUUAUUCAACCCGCAGUCCUUUUUAAACUGGCUAACUGAGAUAACGAUUCAUUUUUGCAAAAAUGUCCAUGUCCUUUAGUAUAUUCAACCCGCAGUCCUUCAAACAAACACAUCAGGGCAGAUCCCCUUCCUCUUCCCCACGCACGAGCGGGCGCACCGCCGCCGCCGACGCCUUCCUCGCGGAGUUUGCGGCCGAAGGAUCGGUUGGGGCGCACCGGGUCGGCCUUCGGUGGGGCGCAGUGCGAGCUCUCGGCUCGGGGCAGGAGGCGGCUCGAUGAAGAGGAGCUGGGGUGCGGCGCUCCUCUCCUGGUGUGGCGCGCGAGGGAAGGAGGAGGGGAUCGAUCCAAGACGGGAGCUGAGGCUGGCGGCGCCCUUCACACAAGCCUCACCGGCGGUGCCUUCUACACAAGCCUCACCGGCGGUGCGGCGGGAGAGCUCCGACCCGUCCAUAGGUGCAGGGAUGCAGAUCCGCGUCGCCAGCCUGUACUAGGCCGAGGUUGAUGCGCCGGCGCAGGGGUCGCCGUCCAUCUUCGCCAGGCCUCCAGAGUACUCCAGCAACAGCCACUGGACGGCAGAUAUUUUGCCGGAUGACCCACUGUAUGAGCAUGCCACAUCCUUUCUUGCUCACCCAGCACAUGGCAUUCCUUACAGUAGAGGUACCACACGGGGUGGUGACUGGGAGGCUGGGACAUGCUGGCACGGCCAAACAGCUGGUUUACUGCAAUCAGGGUGCUAGAGGCUCUUGGGGUUGCAGCCCGCUCGCCUGCUGGAGGUACAAUGUUGAUUAUUUAGAGACCUCAUCUUCAUGAGACUAGCAAGGGAUGGACAUUCUGAAGAAGAAGAGAUGAGGUGAGUUUCUGAAGUUCACCGUCCAAUCCAAGUAUUAAAGGUCCCUGCACUUCCGUUGACGAGUAUUUUGUCAGCAUCUCGAUGCGGAGGACAUUUAUUUGAAAUACUAAAUUGUGGUGUCGCUACCUCUAAGGACCACAGCGUUGUAGCGCCCUUGGCUCAAGGUGACCAUCUUCAGCGCAUCGUGGUGUCGCUGCCCACACGAUCUCUACAGACACCACAAAAGGCUACAGGACCGAGGAGGCCGGUGGCCUGACCACUGAAUCACGUUGUCGUGCGGGCGCCUUGAUCUCGCAUGCGCUGCACAGGUUAGAUUGACAUUUUGCCCUGUGUUUAAUUACUACAUGCACUGCACACUGAUCCAUGUAUAUAUUGGCUCCCCUAUAUAUACCUCUGUUGGUGAAAAGUUUUGACUUUCGAGUUUUGUCAGACGUGAGUUGCAACAAUUUUCAGUUACUUUUCUAUGCCUGCCAUUCAUCUCUGAACCGUUGUGAUGGAGAUUGUAAUACUGUGUUUAGAAUGUCAGUCCAUAUGCAAGAUCUUCUUUUCAA
Molecule: long non-coding RNA, 1436 nt
Organism: Triticum dicoccoides
Lineage: Eukaryota; Viridiplantae; Streptophyta; Magnoliopsida; Poales; Poaceae
Exons: 7
Source: RefSeq, a predicted model, not a curated record